AAGAUACAACAGGACAGGCUUUGAGGACAGAAACCCAGGGUCACGUUCCUGCUCCAUCACUUUCCAUCAGCAUGGUCUCGGGCAAGGGAAUCGUAAGCAGGUAACUGAUCAUCUGGAAACCUGGGGGACAAGAGGGAAGAAAUGACACCUAGGAUGCUCCAUCCUUUCCCUGCAUCCCUUUGUGUUCAGUUCAACAACUUGGUUCUCCUCCUGACCAGCCACUGUGCUUGGCUGAGGACACAAAGGUGAAGGAGACAGUCUAGUAUAAAACAUGACACAGACCAGACCCAAAGGGGAGGAAGAGGUCCUGUAGAAAGGUGAAGGGGCAUCAUUCACCAAGCCUCUCCAGCAUUAACCAGAGACUGCUGGAGGGCAGCGUGAGCCUACGGAAAAGACUCGACAUCCAGGGUUUGGACUUAAAGGCCCUAGUGUGGACUUCUUCAGUGCUCUGAUUCCUUGAAGAUUCUGUUGGCUUGUUCUCAAAACGUAAGCAACUUUCCAGUGCCAACAUAUUGAAUUCCUUGCCCACGGGGCAUUUCUCAUCAUCAUGGGUUGCAAUGUGUGCUGUUGUCUGUUGCUGCAUAAUAAACCAGUAAGUCUGCUUAA
This is a long non-coding RNA of Homo sapiens (human), 606 nucleotides long. RefSeq lists it as uncharacterized. NCBI's taxonomy places the organism in Eukaryota, Metazoa, Chordata, Mammalia, Primates, Hominidae. The transcript has 2 exons. The record is from RefSeq and is a predicted model, not a curated record.